UGACAUAGGUAGCCCCCGUGUCGCAUCUACGCCGAAAACUUUUUCUAUGCCAGUGAAUCAGCCCAAAGAGUAAUAAUUAUAAUCAGCUGCAGUCGCCAUUCAGUUGUCAUUGAGGUUAGACGUGCGUGUGUCCUGAACAAUUUACGACUUGUCCGACGGAAGACCUACACCAUUCCAAGAGUCGCAUUCAUCAUUGCCAUUCUGUUCACCGUAAAAUGUGCGACCAGGACUCCGCCCCGUCUCUUAGCUGCGCAAGAGUGGAUGAUGAUGUUAAAGAAACGUGCCCGGAGGAUACUUGUCCUGGUGGAUCCAGUUGUAUACCCUCGGCUGACUUCAGCGAAAACAUCACUUACAAUGAGGAUUUACAAAAUGAGCCAAAUCAAAUGAGUGUUUUUUAAGAAAACUCUUUAAAUACAUCAUUCAUUCACGCCUGUUUCCUACCGGGGUAAGCAGAGACUAUGGAAUUCCGUUUGUUUCGAUACCUACUGCUGCUGCUUCGGCCACAUACAGCUGCCGGUUCAGAGUAGACCAAACCUUUUUAUGGACAUCCAUAACAGGAAGGAGGUUCGGAGAGACUCCAUUCCAUCUACGGACAACUAGGAAUCUUCGGGCAUUUGAUCCUUAUGUUGUGGAUAUACCACUUAGCCAUAAAGCCAGCCAAUCAGCUCGCGACACCAACACUUCAGGACCCCGAUACCGACCCCGCCGGUGUGGUCAACGAUUUCCCUCAAUCAGCGCUUAUUGCUCGAGCGAUUAAUUCUUUCCAAUAUUCUUCCUCUCAGACGACGCUCUGAACCGAGGUCCGCGCCCAACUGGGCACUCUCAGGCCUGUUGUCUUUGUGCCGGGUGAGAGCCUUCAGCGCUCCCCAUUUGUCCAGCCAAGUAGUUAAUUAGAGCCGAUAUUGAGCUGAGUUCGAUGAAGAGCCGAGGAAGGUUGGAGUUAAAAUCUUAGAAUAUCAUAUUCCUAUAUUAUUAUAGUUUUAGUGUUAAUAUUGUUAUUUGGUAUAAAUACAUUAAAUUAUCUACUGUAUUUAUGAUAGUAAGUAAGUAUUCACGUACGUCCAAAGAUAAUGUUUAAGAUUGUAGUAAAAUAAAAUUAUUUUACAUAAACCAC
Pectinophora gossypiella (pink bollworm) is the source of this 1114-nucleotide long non-coding RNA. RefSeq lists it as uncharacterized. Lineage: Eukaryota; Metazoa; Arthropoda; Insecta; Lepidoptera; Gelechiidae. The record is from RefSeq and is a predicted model, not a curated record. The transcript has 3 exons.